Long non-coding RNA from Hyla sarda, 858 nucleotides. RefSeq lists it as uncharacterized. NCBI's taxonomy places the organism in Eukaryota, Metazoa, Chordata, Amphibia, Anura, Hylidae. The transcript is spliced from 3 exons. The record is from RefSeq and is a predicted model, not a curated record.
ACUGCUGAAAGCAGUCAUGUGAGAGCUGUAUGUGAACAUAUGUCAACUGCUGCACAUGAGCUCUACCGACAGAGUGCAGAGCUCACGUGACAUGCAACUCACAUCACUAUGACGUGGAGUCGCAGAAUAUGAAUAUGCUAACUAAGAGGACGGCUGAUUGAGAAGACGCAAAGAAGCAGGAGUGGCCAGCCAGCGGGGCCCCGCCUCCUGAAUUCAAAAGGGGAACUUCAUCAGCCAAUAUUUCAGGAACCACAGCACUGAUUAUAGGGUACUCCAGUGUCAAACAUCUUAUCCCCUAUCCACAGGAUAAGCAAUAAUUCUCUCAUCGAGGGGAUCUGUUCGCUGGGACCCCCCGCAAUUUCCUGCAUGACACCCCGACCCUGUACAUGCGGAAAGAUCUGUUAAUCAAGGUGGCAGAAGCCAUGAAGGACCGCCCUCAUGACUCCUGAUUUAUUGCAGGGGUGGGGGCCUCAAGGCCCCACAAUCUUCAGAAAUGGAGGCCCAACUCUGCUGCAUUCUCUAUGGGAGCGCCAGAGGUACAAGUACAGCUUCAGCCCCAUUAGCCCCCCUCCAGUGGCAGCACUGACAUAAAGUGUCGCCAAAAGAAAGAAAGCAAGAGCCAGCGCACGGUCUUCAGAUUUAUUCAAGAGGUAUAAACAGGUAACAGGAUGGCACACAUACCGGCACUCCGGAUAGGAUGUGACGCGUUUCGGGUCACGUGACCCUUUGUCAAACAUUUUUUUUAAAGUGAAAAUAAAUGUGAUUAAGCCUGUCUUCCUAAUAAAAUUUUGAAUCCCCCCUUUUUCCAUUUUUUAAAUAAAAUUAUGUAAACAAAAAUAAACAUAAACAUAUUUGGUA